UGUUCGGCAUCUCAACCUGAGCAAAGAACCGGUCACAGGGGCGCCAGCAACUACCCAAUUUUUUUGCUACUGGCUGGUCCCUCGUAAAUUGUUAGAUCCAAGUUUACUGCCUACUUACCUGGGUUGCCUAGUGCUGGGACCCUACCGUUGGGAUUGAUCCUUCCGAUGUCAAAAAGACAGGAGUGCAAAUCCGAAGACUCUUUAGAUACGCUGUAUA
This 217-nucleotide long non-coding RNA is filed under the name Volvox carteri. RNAcentral's name for it is "long non-coding RNA (VCAR_LNC001092)". Lineage: Eukaryota; Viridiplantae; Chlorophyta; Chlorophyceae; Chlamydomonadales; Volvocaceae. The record is from RNAcentral.